UACAGAGGUCUCGAGCGUUAGGCGGAAUCACUGGGCUUAAAGCGCGCGUAGGCGGCCCGGUAAGUCCGUUGUGAAAGUCAAAGGCUCAACCUUUGAACGCCGAUGGAUACUGCCGGGCUAGAGUCCGGAAGAGGCGAGUGGAAUUCCUGGUGUAGCGGUGGAAUGCGCAGAUAUCAGGAGGAACACCAAUAGCGAAGGCAGCUCGCUGGGACGGUACUGACGCUGAGGCGCGAAAGCGUGGGGAGCGAACAGG
This 253-nucleotide ribosomal RNA is filed under the name uncultured bacterium. Its description in RNAcentral is "partial 16S ribosomal RNA". It matches the Rfam family "Bacterial small subunit ribosomal RNA", at positions 524 to 776 of the family's 1533-position model. The record is from RNAcentral.